UGUGUGUGGAUGUGCACAGAUGUGCAUCAACAAUACAAACAAAACACAUACACACACACACACACACACUUG
RNAcentral lists this microRNA precursor (72 nucleotides) under Pelodiscus sinensis (Chinese soft-shelled turtle). Its description in RNAcentral is "miRNA (ENSPSIG00000020084.1)". The record is from RNAcentral. Lineage: Eukaryota; Metazoa; Chordata; Testudines; Trionychidae.